GUGCCAGCAGCCGCGGUAAUACUGGAGGAUGCGAGCGUUAUCCGGAUUUAUUGGGUUUAAAGGGUGCGUAGGCUGGUAUUUAAGUCAGUGGUGAAAUUUCCCGGCUCAACCGGGAGGCUGCCAUAUGAUACUGGGUACCUUGAAGUUUAGUUGAUGUAGGGCGGAAUGUGUCAAUGUAGCGGUGAAAUGCAUAGAGAUGACACAGAACACCGAUAGCGAAGGCAGCUCACAAAACUAAUACUGACGCUGAGGCACGAAAGCGUGGGGAUCAAAGCAGGAUUAGAUACCCUGGUAGUCCACGCCGUAACACGAUGAUCACUAGCUGUAGGCGAUACACAGUCUGUGGCUAAGCGAAAGCGAUAAGUGAUCCACCUGGGGAGUACGUCCGCAAAGGAUGAAACUCAAAGGAAUUGACGGGGGCCCGCACAAGCGGAGGAGCAUGUGGUUUAAUUCGAUGAUACGCGAGGAACCUUACCUGGGCUUGAACGUAUGGUGCAUAAUGGUGAAAGCCAUUUUUCUAGCAAUAGACUUCAUACGAGGUGCUGCAUGGCUGUCGUCAGCUCGUGCCGUGAGGUGUUAGGUUAAGUCCUGCAACGAGCGCAACCCCUGUUUCCAGUUGCCAGCAAGUAAAGUUGGGGACUCUGGAGAGACUGCCUGCGCAAGCAGAGAGGAAGGUGGGGAUGACGUCAAGUCAGCACGGCCCUUACGUCCAGGGCUACACACGUGCUACAAUGGCCGGUACAGAGGGCAGCUACCUGGUGACAGGAUGCCAAUCUCCAAAGCCGGUCUCAGUUCGGAUCGGAGUCUGCAACUCGACUCCGUGAAGCUGGAUUCGCUAGUAAUCGGAUAUCAGCAAUGAUCCGGUGAAUACGUUCCCGGGCCUUGUACACACCGCCCGUCACACC
This 905-nucleotide ribosomal RNA is filed under the name uncultured Bacteroidota bacterium. RNAcentral describes it as "bacterial SSU rRNA". It matches the Rfam family "Bacterial small subunit ribosomal RNA", at positions 505 to 1403 of the family's 1533-position model. Lineage: Bacteria; Pseudomonadati; Bacteroidota. The record is from RNAcentral.